CGAACACUACAGUUCAAACAGGAGUCAGACACUGAUGGUGAGUGUAGUCCUGCGGCAGCCAGCCUUGGUGAGCCACAGUCUGUUCUGCCCUUCAAAUCUCAGAGGUAUUUUAUUUGAGGACCAGUGUCAGCACAAAUCUUUCUGUCUUCAGCCUGCUGCAAGCCACAGAUGCUACCUGCAGGACCAGGGAUCAGUCUAGAGUUGAUUACAUCUAAAGAAACAGUGGGUGAGGAAAGUAACUAUAGCUGAAAAGGUUUCCAAGUUCUGAUUAAGAUCUCAAAUGUUGGUCUUAGUCUGCUAAUAUCUUUUGCCUGUGAGUGAUGGUGCUGCAGAGUGGAAUGGAUCACAAGCAAAAAGCUGGUACAUCUGCUCUACUCUGAAUUCCGUUAUGUUCACAGUGCCAUCCAGGACUGCUUGUCACCUUCUCCAUGAUGGGAUACUUUAAAAAGAAAAAAAGUAGGUAAGCUCUGACCAAGUUUUGCUGCCGAAUGAUGCAAACGUUUAUAAGACACUGCGUUUUAUAAACAGUGGAAAGGACAGAGAAGAACUGCUGUAAACAGAGUCAGAACAGGAGGAAGGCCGUUCAACUAUUGACUACAUGUUUUUGCUGUCAACUUCUCGUUUCAGUUAAUCUCUGGAAAACUAAGGUGUUUCAGCAUAAGUGUCUGUAGUUAUACGCUUGAUCGCUUCAUGAGUGUAUGUAUGGCAAAUAUUUCUGUCAUUAGACUGGGAUAGAUACUGCAGUUAAUUAGUCACUAUUGUGCUUUGUUGCUUCAGCAGCUGCUGAGGACAGUUAGUGAUGGCAUUGCUUUAGGCUGGGAGGGAAGUGAGGAAAAAGGUUGUUGCAGUAAGUGCCUUGCCUCCUGUUUGUAGCUUGUCCGGUUGCAUCUUGCCAGACACACAGACUCCUCCAAGUACUUUCACAAUCAUCUCUUGUCUCUUCAAUUACCACUUCCUCCUCCCCCUGCCUCUCUCUUCCGUUUGACCUUCUGGUAAUUCCUCCGGCGCUAGUUCAGAACGGUGCAGUAGGCUAUACUACCCCCUCCAAUUAAAGAUAUAAGUAUGUUGCACAUUAGAAGUUACCUAACAAGGCUCUAAACCCCCCUCAAAUGAAAGCCCGCAGUCUCAUUGAUCUUGCUUGACCCACUUUGAAUCCCAGAUUUUUGUAGGUUGCAGUUAACUGUCUGUCACAGCAAUAUCUAUCAGGUUUUUGGAACUUUGCUGUUGCUUUGCUUUAUUACAUUGUGCUGUCAGCCAGGAGUAGUAGGCUUAUACUUCCAGAUUCAGGCACAAGCUGAUUUCCUAGGUUCACAUAUUACACUCAGGGUUUAUUUUUAAUUCGUAAAGAUCACUUGAUGUAAUGAUCAGCAAUCAAAGAAUAUGCAAUUAUCACUCUUGCAAACUUUCCUGUGCCUCAGUAAUUAAACCAACAAAUUAGUUAAAGGCUCCAAUGCGGAAGAAGAUUGGUAGACUGUGGUCAAGACACACAUUUACAGAUUUUCCCUUAAGCUGCUUUUCUUGAGAAGCUUUGAUAAAGACCAUAUGAUAUCAAUUAUCAUUAACUCUGUGUGGUUUCUCUGCAUUUGGAGCUCUCAGACGUUAGUAGACAGGAGCCCUGUGUUAAGUCUUUAAUGUAUAACUGGUAUUUAUGCUGCAUAGCCUAUUCUCAUUUUGAUUUGUCAGCUGACAUUUGAAAGGGAAGAUUUGAGACAAUUUAUAUGUGCAGACUGUGGCCUGUUGUGCUGAGUGACACUUCCUCCUCUGAUCCAAUUUGACACAGAGCUAUUCUAACAGCAGCAACAACAUAUUUUAAAUGCCAAAUUCAAACCCAAACAUUUUAAUUAUACCUCACGUUCAGUUACUGCCUGAAAAAUUGAAGGAUGCGUUUUGUUAAGGUGUCACUGCCUGAGCUUGACAACAAAGUCAGCAUGAUUUAAUAAACUGAUGUAAAUCCUCUCUUCAGAGAGUGCACACUCACAUAAAGCCCCUAAACAUCAAAGUCUCUCUUGUCUUGAGCUCUGUUCUACAGUCCAUCAGUGCGAGCCUUCCUUCACAAGCAGCAGAAGGAAUUCAGCAAACAUGUAGAUGUGAUUCAUUCUUAAGAUCUUCAAAUAUGUGGAUGAGUCACUGAUAAGUACAUGUAAAUUGUGCUGACCAGAUUUAGUGCAGCAACCAGCACUGGAAAUUACAGGAUGUAGCUGGGAACAGAUGAGGGAGCCUGAAAACUCUUAUAACUGAGGAAGUACAUAUAAAAAUCCCCAGCAGUCUAGAGAGUUCAUUUCACUGGAAUCACAAAAGAAAGUCUACAUAAUUAAUUUUACUAGGAUUUAGACAAGUUUAGGCCUGAUAGUUCACAACUCCUCUUUGGUGCUUUUUCAGUUUGGGAGCUCUCAACAAUUUAGGAGCAGGGGGAUGAGGAGCAAACAAAAACCCCAAACCUGUAACUUUUUGGAAGGUGAAAGGCUGUGUAUGAUAGGCAAUAUUGGCUCAUAUGUUAGCUGAGCUUUAUGUCCAUGUCUCAUC
Falco peregrinus (peregrine falcon) is the source of this 2523-nucleotide long non-coding RNA. RefSeq lists it as uncharacterized. The record is from RefSeq and is a predicted model, not a curated record. NCBI's taxonomy places the organism in Eukaryota, Metazoa, Chordata, Aves, Falconiformes, Falconidae. The transcript is spliced from 5 exons.